Molecule: ribosomal RNA, 486 nt
Filed under: Triticum aestivum (bread wheat)
Lineage: Eukaryota; Viridiplantae; Streptophyta; Magnoliopsida; Poales; Poaceae
Description: partial small subunit ribosomal RNA
Source: RNAcentral
AUGGUUAUAAUAGGAGGAGAUGCGGGUGGCAAUGAAGGAGAUCAUUCUGGAAGUCAACCUCUUCGCCGGAACUCGAAGCGUCCUGCUAAUCGCCAGCCACGACCUACGCAGAGUGUUGAGCAGGGAGAGGAUGUUGAGGAUGCUGAUCAGUUCCGUGUUGUAAAGCGGACUAGACGUGCAGCACUUGGCAAGGGAGCUGAGUCAUCUUCUAGGGCAGCAGUUGCUGGAGAAGCUGUCGCAUCUUCCACAGCAGAUGCUGAGGGCAGCGGUGAAGGAGUUGAGGUGUCUCCAGGGGAAGAUGUGGAGCGACCAUCACAAGCAGGCAGGACAAGGGCAUCACCAGCGCGCUUUGCAAAUUUCAACGCCUCUCUAACUCCACUACAGAAAUCAGAGCUAGUUUCAAGGUCGGUCGGGGGGCUAUUGAACUUAUCAGACACACUUCCAGCGGACCUCACUAAGUUCCUGGUGCAGUCCUACCAGCCAUAG